This 73-nucleotide transfer RNA is filed under the name Accipiter nisus (Eurasian sparrowhawk). It matches the Rfam family "tRNA". Rfam says of the family: Transfer RNA (tRNA) molecules are approximately 80 nucleotides in length. Their secondary structure includes four short double-helical elements and three loops (D, anti-codon, and T loops). Lineage: Eukaryota; Metazoa; Chordata; Aves; Accipitriformes; Accipitridae. The record is from Rfam by way of RNAcentral.
AGAAACUUAGGAUAACCAACCAAACCGAAGGCCUUCAAAGCCUUAAAUAAGAGUUAAAUUCUCUUAGUUUCUG